AUUGAGAACAACGUACAACUCUUAUCGAUAAGCCAUUGGAGGGCAAGUCUGGUGCCAGCAGCCGCGGUAAUUCCAGCUCCAAUAGCGUAUAUUAACGUUGUUGCAGUUAAAAAGCUCGUAGUUGAAGUGAGGGAGUGUGUGUUCAUGAGAGCUAGUCUCGAGUGUUCACAACCUCCCCCCUCCAAUCGGUGUAGUGGGGUAUUCAGUUAUUCCACUACUCCUUUGGUCGUUUACUGUGAGAAAAUUAGAGUGUUCAAAGCGGGCGUUUGUUUGAAUAGAUUAGCAUGGAAUAAUGAUUGAAGGCUUUCGUGUUCGAUUUGAUUGGUUUGUUCAUGGAAGCAAGGUUAAAAGGAACAGUUGGGGGUAUUCAUAUUCACUAGUUAGAGGUGAAAUUCUCGGAUUUAUGGAAGAUGAACAAGUGCGAAAGCA
This 429-nucleotide ribosomal RNA is filed under the name Blastocystis sp. Its description in RNAcentral is "SSU rRNA". It matches the Rfam family "Eukaryotic small subunit ribosomal RNA", at positions 513 to 953 of the family's 1831-position model. Lineage: Eukaryota; Bigyra; Opalinata; Blastocystidae. The record is from RNAcentral.